Molecule: long non-coding RNA, 536 nt
Organism: Gasterosteus aculeatus aculeatus (three-spined stickleback)
Lineage: Eukaryota; Metazoa; Chordata; Actinopteri; Perciformes; Gasterosteidae
Source: Ensembl
GCUUCAUCAGCCACUAAGCCGACUCCGGCUCCGACCAAUCAGUUCCGAGUCCCGCAGCCAGGCCUCCCUUUGGCCACUUCCUGCUGAGAUAAAACCAUCAGCCACGGGCUCUGCCCCCCCCCCCCUGCCGGUGGAGACGGCGACCCGGUGAGGGGUGAUGGGGGAAGGCUGGCAGCAGGUGACAGCAGAGCGAGUUUCCCUCAGCAGUUAUCUGCUGAGCGAGUUCAUUCCUCCAAGAAGAAUCCACGUGGAAGCAGAGACUCAAGAAGAACUGCACAUCGUCUUUUCGCAUGCAGGUUUGGUCCAAGAACAGCAGAGUGAUGCCUUAUGGAUGAGACAUCAUGGCCGGUGCCCGGCAGCGUCAGAGCGAUGCCGGGGGGGUUCGACAGCUGUCAGUGAGUGUCCUGUAAAGAAGGUCUUACCAGCGUUGUAUCCCUGUAGUGCCCAGUCGAUUCUAGAGAUCCCCCGUGUACGGAACUCCUGCCUGCCUCCGACACCGACACCGCCUGCCCGAAUUCCUCUACAUUAAAGCUUAU